This is a non-coding RNA of Pelobates cultripes (western spadefoot toad), 308 nucleotides long. NCBI's taxonomy places the organism in Eukaryota, Metazoa, Chordata, Amphibia, Anura, Pelobatidae. The record is from the annotation of a GenBank genome assembly.
GUUUUUCAAAUUAUUUAAGAACUCUUUAAUAAACUCAUGGUGAUUACUGAAAGUUUAAAACUUUCCCCUAUUAAAGCCAGAGUUGGAUUACAAUUCCACAUGGCCUUAGGCAUCUUGUCAGUUCCACCCCCUUCUUUUUUCACAGAAGGAUGGCUAAUGGUGCCAAGCAAAAUCAUUGUUCAGGGCCCCUGUCCAGGGCCUUAUGGUUAGUCUUGCUCUUAAUAAAGCUCAUUAUGAAUGAACUUCACAGCUUUCAGAAGUUGCUCUAAAUGUAUUCUAAGUAUUAACGAGGCCCUCCUGUAUUAGAG